This 219-nucleotide long non-coding RNA is filed under the name Homo sapiens (human). RNAcentral describes it as "LNC_000878". Lineage: Eukaryota; Metazoa; Chordata; Mammalia; Primates; Hominidae. The record is from RNAcentral.
GGGGUCCCAAGCUUUUCCUUCAGGGCCAGCAUGACCGCUGGGAGGAUCACGCCAAGAUGACGGGUGAGGGCAUCACCAGCCACUGACGAAAGGAAAGCCAGCACCCGGGUGUUGACAGGUGGCGUUGUCAGCUUGGGCACAAGGUAGGGCAGCACCACACGACUCUUAAUAGCCAUGACUUGCUUCAGACCAUCCAAGGCAAACUCUGACACCUCCUCG